RNAcentral lists this ribosomal RNA (447 nucleotides) under uncultured bacterium. RNAcentral describes it as "bacterial SSU rRNA". It matches the Rfam family "Bacterial small subunit ribosomal RNA", at positions 29 to 524 of the family's 1533-position model. The record is from RNAcentral.
AACGAACGCUGGCGGCAGGCCUAACACAUGCAAGUCGAGCGCCCAGCAAUGGGAGCGGCAGACGGGUGAGUAACACGUGGGAACCUUCCCUAUAGUACGGAAUAGCCCAGGGAAACUUGGAGUAAUACCGCAUACGCCCGAGAGGGGAAAGAUUUAUCGCUAUAGGAUGGGCCCGCGUAGGAUUAGCUAGUUGGUGAGGUAAUGGCUCACCAAGGCGACGAUCCUUAGCUGGUCUGAGAGGACGACCAGCCACACUGGGACUGAGACACGGCCCAGACUCCUACGGGAGGCAGCAGUGGGGAAUAUUGGACAAUGGGCGCAAGCCUGAUCCAGCCAUGCCGCGUGAGUGAUGAAGCCUUAGGGUGUAAAGCUCUUUUGCCGGGGUACGAUAAUGACGGUACCCGGAGAAUAAGCUCCGGCUAACUCCGUGCCAGCAGCCGCGGUAAU